Molecule: ribosomal RNA, 484 nt
Filed under: uncultured bacterium
Lineage: Bacteria
Description: partial 16S ribosomal RNA
Rfam family: Bacterial small subunit ribosomal RNA
Source: RNAcentral
CUUUCCCUCUUUCUUCAUGCCUUACACAUGCAAGUCGAACGGUAACGGGUCCUUCGGGAUGCCGACGAGUGGCGAACGGGUGAGUAAUAUAUCGGAACGUGCCCAGUAGUGGGGGAUAACUGCUCGAAAGAGCAGCUACUGCCGCAUACGACCUGAGGGUGAAAGGGGGGGAUCGCAGGACCUUUUGCUCUUGUAGCGGCCGAUAUAAGAUUAGUCAGUUGGUGGGGUAAAGGCCUACCAAGGCAACUAUCUGUAGUUGGUCUGAGAGGACGACCAGCCACACUGGGACUGAGACACGGCCCAGACUCCUACGGGAGGCAGCAGUGGGGAAUGUUGGACAAUAGGCGCAAGCCUGAUCCAGCAAUGCCGCGUGCAGGAAGAAGGCCUUCGGGUUGUAAACUGCUUUUGUCAGGGAAGAAAUCUUCUGGGCUAAUACCACGUGAGGAUGACGGUACCUGAAGAAUAAGCACCGGCUAACUACGUG